UCCCUAGUGGUCCAGUGGCUAAGACUCUGAGCUCCCAAUGCAGGAGGCCUAGGUUCGCUCCCUGGUCAGGGAA
This 73-nucleotide transfer RNA is filed under the name Bos taurus (domestic cattle). It matches the Rfam family "tRNA". From Rfam's summary of the family: Transfer RNA (tRNA) molecules are approximately 80 nucleotides in length. Their secondary structure includes four short double-helical elements and three loops (D, anti-codon, and T loops). Further hydrogen bonds mediate the characteristic L-shaped molecular structure. tRNAs have two regions of fundamental functional importance: the anti-codon, which is responsible for specific mRNA codon recognition, and the 3' end, to which the tRNAs corresponding amino acid is attached (by aminoacyl-tRNA synthetases). tRNAs cope with the degeneracy of the genetic code in two manners: having more than one tRNA (with a specific anti-codon) for a particular amino acid; and 'wobble' base-pairing, i.e. permitting non-standard base-pairing at the 3rd anti-codon position. RNAcentral also lists the same sequence under 5 other names. Lineage: Eukaryota; Metazoa; Chordata; Mammalia; Artiodactyla; Bovidae. The record is from Rfam by way of RNAcentral.